CCAGUACCGUGAGGGAAAGGCGAAAAGAACCCCGGGAGGGGAGUGAAAUAGAUCCUGAAACCGCAUGCAUACAAACAGUCGGAGCCUCUUUAUGGGGUGACGGCGUACCUUUUGUAUAAUGGGUCAGCGACUUACGUUCAGUAGCAAGCUUAACCGUAUAGGGCAGGCGUAGCGAAAGCGAGUCCGAAUAGGGCGUUCAGUUGCUGGGCGUAGACCCGAAACCAGGUGAUCUAUCCAUGGCCAGGAUGAAGGUGCGGUAACACGUACUGGAGGUCCGAACCCACUAACGUUGAAAAGUUAGGGGAUGAGCUGUGGAUAGGGGUGAAAGGCUAAACAAACCUGGAAAUAGCUGGUUCUCUCCGAAAACUAUUUAGGUAGUGCCUCGUGUCUCACCUUCGGGGGUAGAGCACUGUCAUGGUUGGGGGGUCUAUUGCAGAUUACCCCGCCAUAGCAAACUCCGAAUACCGAAGAGUGCAAUCACGGGAGACAGACAUCGGGUGCUAACGUCCGGUGUCAAGAGGGAAACAACCCAGACCGCCAGCUAAGGUCCCCAAAUAUGGCUAAGUGGGAAACGAAGUGGGAAGGCUAAAACAGUCAGGAGGUUGGCUUAGAAGCAGCCACCCUUUAAAGAAAGCGUAAUAGCUCACUGAUCGAGUCGUCCUGCGCGGAAGAUGUAACGGGGCUAAGCCAUAUACCGAAGCUGCGGAUGCGAGCUUGCUCGCAUGGUAGGAGAGCGUUCCGUAAGCCUGCGAAGGUGCCUUGUAAAGGGUGCUGGAGGUAUCGGAAGUGCGAAUGCUGACAUGAGUAGCGAUAAAGGGGGUGAAAGGCCCCCUCGCCGUAAGCCCAAGGUUUCCUACGCAACGUUCAUCGGCGUAGGGUGAGUCGGCCCCUAAGGCGAGGCAGAAAUGCGUAGCUGAUGGGAAGCAGGUCAAUAUUCCUGCACCGUCGUUAGAUGCGAUGGGGGGACUGAUCGCGGAAGG
RNAcentral lists this ribosomal RNA (980 nucleotides) under Bacillus sp. AFS075960. RNAcentral's name for it is "bacterial LSU rRNA". It matches the Rfam family "Bacterial large subunit ribosomal RNA", at positions 495 to 1486 of the family's 2925-position model. The record is from RNAcentral. Lineage: Bacteria; Bacillati; Bacillota; Bacilli; Caryophanales; Bacillaceae.